Molecule: long non-coding RNA, 1516 nt
Filed under: Capra hircus (goat)
Lineage: Eukaryota; Metazoa; Chordata; Mammalia; Artiodactyla; Bovidae
Description: lncRNA (ENSCHIG00010029198.1)
Source: RNAcentral
ACAACUGAGCUACUUUCACUUCUCUUUUUCAAGCAGAGACCUGUAGAGGACACUGUGGUUGACUCUCUGCCAAUGUCCCAUCCAAGCCAGCAAGCCCAUAGCCUUGCCAUGAGUCGGUAAGCAGCCCAAGUUGGCCAAAUAAGAUGAACAGGAAAGCCGUGUAUACGGUUACCGGGGAGGGGCCUGUUCUUUCUCUGCUGCUGGACCACAAAGGCUCUGGCAGGCUCGACAGCCGCUGACUUCUGCUGUGCUUCUACUUGGGACUCCAGGAGGCUGGGUUCUGAGUCUAUUCUAGAUGAGUUUACCCAGUUUCCGUUCUAUUCUCAGUCAAGUGAGGUUGGUUGGGAAUCUGUAAUCAAUGUUUCUCAGAUUCUCUCAUAGUCAGGUUCUAGGUCCAGAAAGGGUUCCUCCAGUCCAGUAUAUUCAUGGGAUAUCUGACUGGUACAAGUGAGGUGGAGGCCAUUUUUAGCCCUCCUUUUGCUGUUUUGCUUGGCAAGCGUGGCUGAAAAUGUGGGGAUUCCUUGCAGUCAUGUUCCUUUGUCCAUUCUCCAGCUUUGUGAGGCUUAAGCAAUAAUGGAGGUGGCAGAAGCAGUGUUGGCAGAGCUCUGAUCUGGCUUCUUGAGCUCUGAGCCAUAGCUGCAAAUAUGGCUUUUUCACUUCACUGCAUGUCCAGAGGCCAGUAAGAUGGUGGCAGGGUCUUGAUCACACUGUGGCUCUGAGAUCGCCUCAGAGAAAGCAUCUCCUUGUGACUUCCCUGUGGUCGGUGGGAUUGAUUUGAGAAAGAAUUGACAAAGAGAGCAAAGAGAAAGAACUGACCCACGCUAGUAACUUCAUUGUAGAUAGUGAAGUGAAAGUCGCUCAGUUGUGUCAGGGGCCUGACUCUUUGAGACCCAGUGGACUAUACAGUCCAUGGAAUUCUCCAGGCCAGAAUUCUGGAGGGGGUAGCCUAUCCCUUCUCCAGCAAAUCUUCCCGACCCAGAAAUCAAACCAGGGUCUCCUGCCUUGCAGGAAGAUUCUUUCCCAACUGAGCUAUCAGGAAAUCAGCUACUUAUCAUAUCCUAUAUUACGAAGACAAUGAAUUUCUGUAUUGUUCAAGUUAUUUUACUUGAGGUCUUCUUUUUCUUGUAGCUAAAAGCAGCUUUUAGAGAUGUAGAUAUUAGAGAUGAGAGGAUAAAAACCUGGGAGGAUCUUGGGGAAUGUUGCUUCAGGCCCAGAAUAGGGUGGCGUUUGAAUUGAGACCUCUUUUAGCCGUCUGGGUAGAAGUGCCUGGAAGGCUUCGGCUCUUCAAGUCAAAAUCCUGAACGGGAAAGUAAGGUUUGUAGAUACAAAGCGGUAGUGCCGGAGCUAGCCGGGGGGCGGUGCGUGUGCAUGCCAAGUUGCACUAGCCAUGGCCUCCUCUUUGCAACCCUGUGGACUGGAGCCCGCCCGUCUCCUCUGUGCAUGGGAUUUCCCAGGCAGGAAGACUAGAGUGGGUUGCCAUGCCCUCCUCCAGGGGAUCUUCCCAAACCAAGGAUCA